CAGGACGAACGCUGGCGGCGUGCCUAACACAUGCAAGUCGAGCGAAGAUUAUAGCAAUGUAAUCUUAGCGGCGGACGGGUGAGUAACGCGUGGGCAACCUACCUCAAACUGGGGGAUAACACAGGGAAACUUGUGCUAAUACCGCAUAACAUCAUGAAAUGACGUCAUUUUAUGAUCAAAGGAGCAAUCCGGUGAGAGAUGGGCCCGCGUCCAAUUAGCUAGUUGGUGGUGUAACGGACCACCAAGGCGACGAUUGGUAGCCGAACUGAGAGGUUGAUCGGCCACAUUGGGACUGAGACACGGCCCAGACUCCUACGGGAGGCAGCAGUGGGGAAUAUUGCGCAAUGGGGGAAACCCUGACGCAGCAACGCCGCGUGAGGGACGAAGGUUUUCGGAUCGUAAACUUCUUUGAUGAGGGACGAAAGCAAUGACGGUACCUCAAAACAAGCCACGGCUAACUACGUGCCAGCCGCCGC
This 476-nucleotide ribosomal RNA is filed under the name uncultured bacterium. RNAcentral describes it as "bacterial SSU rRNA". It matches the Rfam family "Bacterial small subunit ribosomal RNA", at positions 25 to 518 of the family's 1533-position model. The record is from RNAcentral.